RNAcentral lists this ribosomal RNA (200 nucleotides) under uncultured bacterium. RNAcentral describes it as "partial 16S ribosomal RNA". It matches the Rfam family "Bacterial small subunit ribosomal RNA", at positions 1301 to 1500 of the family's 1533-position model. The record is from RNAcentral.
CAGGCUGCAACUCGCCUGCAUGAAGUCGGAAUCGCUAGUAAUCGCGGAUCAGCACGCCGCGGUGAAUACGUUCCCGGGCCUUGUACACACCGCCCGUCACACCACGGAAGUUGGGAGUACCCAAAGUAGGUUGCCUAACCGCAAGGAGGGCGCUUCCUAAGGUAAGACCGAUGACUGGGGUGAAGUCGUAACAAGGUACC